RNAcentral lists this ribosomal RNA (478 nucleotides) under uncultured bacterium. RNAcentral describes it as "bacterial SSU rRNA". It matches the Rfam family "Bacterial small subunit ribosomal RNA", at positions 29 to 523 of the family's 1533-position model. The record is from RNAcentral.
AAUGAACGUUGGCGGCGUGGAUUAGGCAUGCAAGUCGAGCGAGAAGCUUUUUUAAGAUACUUCGGUUGAUUUUUAAAGUGGACAGCGGCGAAAGGGAGAGUAACGAGUAGAUACGUACCCAGGGGUUCGGGAUAGCCAUGCGAAAGCGUGAGUAAUACCGAAUAAUGUCUCCGGACCAAAGAUUUAUUGCCCUUGGAGCGGUUUGCUUACUAUUAGCUAGUUGGUGGGGUAAAGGCCUACCAAGGCAAAGAUGGUUAGCGGGUGUGAGAGCAUGGCCCGUCUCACUGGGACUGAGACACUGCCCAGACACCUACGGGUGGCUGCAGUCGAGAAUCUUCCGCAAUGGACGAAAGUCUGACGGAGCGACGCCGCGUGCUGGAUGAAGGCCCUCGGGUUGUAAACAGCUGUCGUAGGGGAGGAAAUUUUGACCGAUCCUAGGAGGAAGCACAGGCUAAGUUCGUGCCAGCCGCCGCGGUAA